UACAGAGACUGCGAGCGUUAUUCGGAUUCACUGGGCGUAAAGAGCGCGCAGGCGGUCGAUCAAGUCGAGUGUGAAAGCCCCCGGCUCAACUGGGGAGGGUCAUUCGAUACUGAUCGACUCGAAGGCAGGAGAGGGUAGUGGAAUUCCCGGUGUAGUGGUGAAAUGCGUAGAUAUCGGGAGGAACACCAGUGGCGAAGGCGACUACCUGGCCUGUUCUUGACGCUGAGGCGCGAAAGCUAGGGGAGCGAACCGG
This 253-nucleotide ribosomal RNA is filed under the name uncultured bacterium. RNAcentral's name for it is "partial 16S ribosomal RNA". It matches the Rfam family "Bacterial small subunit ribosomal RNA", at positions 524 to 776 of the family's 1533-position model. The record is from RNAcentral.